Molecule: long non-coding RNA, 1037 nt
Organism: Brassica napus (rape)
Lineage: Eukaryota; Viridiplantae; Streptophyta; Magnoliopsida; Brassicales; Brassicaceae
Exons: 2
Source: RefSeq, a predicted model, not a curated record
GUACAAAAACAAAGGAAAAAAACUCACUAGUUAAUAAAUAAAUAUUUGGAUUGCAAAUAUGAGCCAAUUAGAUACAAGUGUGUGGAUCACAAUCUUGGUCAUUCAUUAAACUGAAUCUAAAGGUCCCCAAUCGUUCUCUUCUGAUUGGUUCAUUUAGAAAAAUGGGAUCACCCAUAUUUAAUCAUGGCCGUUGAUGAGUAUCGAUCUAAAAGCUUAAAUUAACCUACUUUAAUUAAUUGUUUUUAAUUUUUUUCUUCUUUCUCUCCUCGAGACUUGAUCUUUUCUCUUCUCUCUUUCUCUAGUUCGCCCUAAAGUUCGUCUUUCUAUUGUUAGUUCAUCUCUGUUAGGCUCUUUUCUGUACUCUAGAUUCCUUUUCUCUGGAGGGUUUAGAUCUUUGGUUUGGAGGCGAGUGGAGACGCGUGGAGAGGAACUCCUUCUCCUGGGGGUUUGAUUAGUCGGAUCCCACUGGCUCAGAUGUGCUUUUGUCUGUAUUAGGUCUCCUUUGACCGGAUUUCUUUGAUAAACUGAAGAUCUGCUUUUCUCUCCAUCUCUCUCGACGGUUGGAUGAUGUUACUCUCAUCAAAUGAGAAAUCCUAUAAGAUUCUGCCUUUAUACAGAUCUUAUCCAAGCACAAGCUUGUACAUGAGGUGCUUUUUGGUCUUCUAUUAACAACGACAAGUACUUGUGGUCGUGGUCUCGGCGUCAACAAUGGUGGUCUCGGCAUCAGCAGUGGUGGUCUCGACUUCGUCAGUGGUCGUCUCGACUUCGUCAGUGGUCGUCUCGACUUCGUCAAUGGUAGCUUAGCGCGGUGGAGGAGGCUGAAUAAGCUUUACUGUGUGGUGUUCUUGGCUGGUGGUGUCGGCCUCAAAGAUGAAGAAUAUGAAGGAGUUGAAGUUGACGGCAAAAAGUUUAGAUGUAGGGUUAAUUUUUUUAUUAGGUUAAUCUUUUUAGGUUUACAUUUGCAAACCGGGUUUUGUAAAGCAGAAUUUAUUUGUAAACCAUAAUUAAUUAUAUUUGGUGGUUUAAUUUUUAAUUAA